RNAcentral lists this ribosomal RNA (252 nucleotides) under uncultured bacterium. RNAcentral's name for it is "partial 16S ribosomal RNA". It matches the Rfam family "Bacterial small subunit ribosomal RNA", at positions 524 to 776 of the family's 1533-position model. The record is from RNAcentral.
UACGUAGGGUCCGAGCGUUAAUCGGAAUUACUGGGCGUAAAGCGUGCGCAGGCGGUUUUGUAAGCCAGAUGUGAAAUCCCCGGGCUUAACUUGGGAACUGCAUUUGGGACUGCAAGGCUGGAGUACGGCAGAGGGAGGUGGAAUCCACGUGUAGCAGUGAAAUGCGUAGAGAUGUGGAGGAACACCGAUGGCGAAGGCAGCCUCCUGGGCUAGUACUGACGCUCAUGCACGAAAGCGUGGGGAGCAAACAGG